UGUUGACCCCUGCGGCACACCAUUUUCUAAAACAUACUCUUUUGAGUGGAUGUCACCGAUUCUUACAACAAACUUUCUGUUCUCUAGAAAGGAUUGUAUAAAUUUUGGUAACUUCCCUCGAAGAUUGUAUUUAUACAUAUUCUGCAAUAUUCCAUAUCACCAAGUCAUGUCGUAAGCGCCCUUUAUAUCAAAGAAAACCGCAAGCAGGUGUUCACCACUGUCAAAUGCACUCAGAAUUCUAUCGGUCAAUUUGACCAAAUGGUCAGCCGUUGCCCGUCCCUUCCGAAAACCCGUUUGAUAAGUUUUCCCAAGCAAGACGUUAAACUAAUUGGGCGAUAACUUUGUGCCAGCAACGGAUCUUUUCCAGGUUUCGGUAUAGGAAUGACAACGGCCUGUUUCCAUUCCGAGGGGAGUACAGUGAUGAAACAUCUGGUUGUGGAUUUCGUCUUCUCCCGGUGAACAUGACUUGGUGUUACGGAUAGCGAUAUUCAACUCUUCUAAGACGACCACCACGGAACCAUUUUUGCUUUAUUGCCAGGUUUGGAUUUUGGAAUACUGGCGUUCGCAGCGUCUAAUAUAGCAGAUGUAAGAGUUUUUAAACUUAAGCUAUCUAGGGCUGGAGGGACGAACUUACUUGCAAAAAGUUCCCAAUCUGCUUGUGGGAUCUUAAAUCUAGCCACUGAUCUUAUCGUGGGAUUUUUGCCUCUAACAGAAAUGAUUAUGGGAAAAUGAUCGCUGUGAUGGAGAUCAGUUUCCACCUCCCAUUCAAAAUUACAGUAUAUA
Molecule: long non-coding RNA, 783 nt
Organism: Photinus pyralis (common eastern firefly)
Lineage: Eukaryota; Metazoa; Arthropoda; Insecta; Coleoptera; Lampyridae
Exons: 4
Source: RefSeq, a predicted model, not a curated record